RNAcentral lists this transfer RNA (72 nucleotides) under Cavia porcellus (domestic guinea pig). It matches the Rfam family "tRNA". Rfam says of the family: Transfer RNA (tRNA) molecules are approximately 80 nucleotides in length. Lineage: Eukaryota; Metazoa; Chordata; Mammalia; Rodentia; Caviidae. The record is from Rfam by way of RNAcentral.
UGAAAUGUAGUUCAUUGGUGGAGUUUUUGCUUAGCAUGCAUGAGGCCCUGGGCUCAAUCCCCAGCGCUCCAA